UAAUACGUAGGAUGCAAGCGUUGCUCGGAAUUACUGGGUGUAAAGAGCGUGUAGGUGGCCAGAUAAGUCAGUGGUGAAAGCCCUCGGCUCAACCGGGGAACUGCCAUUGAUACUGUCUGGCUUGAGUACGGGAGAGGAAAGCGGAAUUCCUGGUGUAGCGGUGAAAUGCGUAGAUAUCAGGAGGAACACCGGUGGCGAAGGCGGCUUUCUGGACCGAUACUGACACUGAGACGCGAAUGCGUGGGGAGCAAACAGGAUUAGAUACCCUGGUAGUCCACGCCCUAAACGAUGGGCACUAGGUGUGGGAACUUUUAGAGUUUCCGUGCCGAAGCUAGCGCAUUAAGUGCCCCGCCUGGGAAGUACGAUCGCAAGGUUG
This 376-nucleotide ribosomal RNA is filed under the name uncultured bacterium. RNAcentral describes it as "bacterial SSU rRNA". It matches the Rfam family "Bacterial small subunit ribosomal RNA", at positions 521 to 896 of the family's 1533-position model. The record is from RNAcentral.